GACGAACGCUGGCGGCGUGCUUAACACAUGCAAGUCGAACGGGCCUGUCUUCUUUUUUGGGGGUGGGUUGAGUGGCGAACGGGUGAGUAUCACGUGAGUAACCUGCCCUUCGGUCCUGGAUAACCGCUUGAAAGGGCGGCUAAUACGGGGUGGUCCGGUUGGUCCGCAUGGGCUGGUCGGGAUAGAUUCACUGUUUUUGGUGUUUCGGCGGGGGAUGGGCUCGCGGCCUAUCAGCUUGUUGGUGGGGUGAUGGCCUACCAAGGCGGUGACGGGUAGCCGGCCUGAGAGGGUGGGCAGCCACACUGGGACUGAGAUACGGCCCAGACUCCUGCGGGGGGCAGCAGUGGGGGGUAUUGCACAAUGGGCGGAAGCCUGAUGCAGCGACGUCGCGUGAGGGAUGGAGGCCUUCGGGUUGUGAACCUCUGUUUCCGGUGGUGAAGGCCCUGUCCGUGUGGUGGGGUUGACGGUAGCCGGGGAUGAAGCGCCGGCUAACUACGUG
This 499-nucleotide ribosomal RNA is filed under the name uncultured bacterium. RNAcentral describes it as "partial 16S ribosomal RNA". It matches the Rfam family "Bacterial small subunit ribosomal RNA", at positions 28 to 507 of the family's 1533-position model. The record is from RNAcentral.